Molecule: long non-coding RNA, 208 nt
Organism: Herpailurus yagouaroundi (jaguarundi)
Lineage: Eukaryota; Metazoa; Chordata; Mammalia; Carnivora; Felidae
Exons: 2
Source: RefSeq, a predicted model, not a curated record
UUAAAGCUGUAUCUUUUCAUGUAUAGGUGUGUAAGUAAGAGUCUGGGAAGUCUAUCAAAAUAUUAAUAAGGUAGCUUUUUCUAAAUGGUACGCAUAAUUACUUUAAAAAAUCAAAAGGUUUGUUUUAAUUUUUUUUUUUUUUAAUAGGACGCAGGAGGAAAAAAAAAUCUCCCCAGCUGCUAACUUUCCAAGAUACAUCACAGGCAUG